AGGACGAACGCUGGCGGCAUGCCUUACACAUGCAAGUCGAGCGGCAGCNCGGGGGCAACCCUGGCGGCGAGCGGCGAACGGGUGAGUAACAUAUCGGAACGUACCCAGUCGUGGGGGAUAACUAUCCGAAAGGAUAGCUAAUACCGCAUACGUCCUGAGGGAGAAAGCGGGGGGAUCGCAAGACCUCGCGCGAUUGGAGCGGCCGAUAUCGGAUUAGCUAGUUGGUGGGGUAAAGGCUCACCAAGGCGACGAUCCGUAGCGGGUCUGAGAGGACGACCCGCCACACUGGAACUGAGACACGGUCCAGACUCCUACGGGAGGCAGCAGUGGGGAAUUUUGGACAAUGGGGGCAACCCUGAUCCAGCCAUUCCGCGUGAGUGAAGAAGGCCUUCGGGUUGUAAAGCUCUUUCAGCAGGAACGAAACGGUGGUCCCUAAUACGGACUACUAAUGACGGUACCUGAAGAAGAAGCACCGGCUAACUACGUG
Molecule: ribosomal RNA, 487 nt
Filed under: uncultured bacterium
Lineage: Bacteria
Description: bacterial SSU rRNA
Rfam family: Bacterial small subunit ribosomal RNA
Source: RNAcentral